RNAcentral lists this ribosomal RNA (253 nucleotides) under uncultured bacterium. RNAcentral's name for it is "partial 16S ribosomal RNA". It matches the Rfam family "Bacterial small subunit ribosomal RNA", at positions 524 to 776 of the family's 1533-position model. The record is from RNAcentral.
UACGAAGGGGGCUAGCGUUGUUCGGAAUUACUGGGCGUAAAGCGCACGUAGGCGGACUAUUAAGUCAGGGGUGAAAUCCCGGGGCUCAACCCCGGAACUGCCUUUGAUACUGGUAGUCUCGAGUCCGGAAGAGGUGAGUGGAAUUCCGAGUGUAGAGGUGAAAUUCGUAGAUAUUCGGAGGAACAUCAGUGGCGAAGGCGGCUCACUGGUCCGGUACUGACGCUGAGGUGCGAAAGCGUGGGGAGCAAACAGG